AUGUCAUGAUCUUCUGAAUCAGACUGUUUUAUCGCCAUAGGGAGAUCCUUCCACAAAACACGUGCAUGAUGAGAGAAAGCUGUGUGGCCUGCAGAUUUUUACUCACCCUAGGGACACAACGUAGUCCUACACCCUGAGAAUGCAGAGCCCGGGCCGGUACGUAGGGUUUAAUUAGGUCAGCUAAGUAGGGAGUUGCUAGUCUGU
Molecule: long non-coding RNA, 204 nt
Organism: Thalassophryne amazonica
Lineage: Eukaryota; Metazoa; Chordata; Actinopteri; Batrachoidiformes; Batrachoididae
Exons: 3
Source: RefSeq, a predicted model, not a curated record